RNAcentral lists this long non-coding RNA (599 nucleotides) under Oreochromis niloticus (Nile tilapia). Its description in RNAcentral is "lncRNA (ENSONIG00000027675.1)". The record is from RNAcentral. Lineage: Eukaryota; Metazoa; Chordata; Actinopteri; Cichliformes; Cichlidae.
CAUGGUGUUACCUAAGCCUACCUAGAUACAACAUCAGUAUCUGACCAAAUGUAUUUGAGGCCCAUCCCUUUCUUCAUCUUUUUCCCUGAUGGGUGGUAUAAAAGAAUAGUCAACACAGCAUGUCAAUAAAAGGGAAUGGCAAAGCAAUAAAAUGCCACAACUAGGCUCAGAAAAACCAUAAAGCUGUCAUGUGUUCAUCUUUACAAACCAAUUUGGUCCUGGUCAUUUUACUGUAUUCCUACUUCACUUAUACCGUAUCCUCUUCUCUGUUUCCCUCCUCGUGUCAGCUGCAGGGACAGUUUCAUCUAAAUGGAAUGAACAAGGUUGGAGAUAUCAUUCUGGGGGGACUGUUUCCAGUUCACUUUUUCUCAAGUGUUCCUCAUCCAUCUUUUACCUCAGAGCCACAACAGCCUACUUGCCAUAGGUGAGUUAUUUUGCCACAUGUUCUUGUUUGAGUGACCAUCGAAAAUAUCCAUCCUUCUUUAGGACAAUCCCAAGUGAUGCUUUCCAGGUAAAAUUCAAUCAGCAGAAUUAUUACAAUUGCCAGUAGAUGAUAAGUAGCUAAUCCAUUGAAAGUUUUCUUAUUAUCUAUGCUCUCA